RNAcentral lists this long non-coding RNA (243 nucleotides) under Elaeis guineensis (African oil palm). RNAcentral describes it as "long non-coding RNA (EGUI_LNC076973)". Lineage: Eukaryota; Viridiplantae; Streptophyta; Magnoliopsida; Arecales; Arecaceae. The record is from RNAcentral.
AAGACGUUUGACGUGGUUAUAAAAGGAGGAGAAGAGUGGGGCAUGCAAGAAGAAGUUUUUUGGAGAAAAAUUUUGGGGCAUGAGAAGUCUUGUGCGUGAGAAGGAAGUCCCUAUCCUUCCAAGAGAAAAAGAAAGAAAAGAAAGAAAAGUGGGUGCAAGGUUUCCGGUGAGUUUCCUAGAGUUUUAGCCUGGGGUUCGGGAAGAGAGAAAGUGAGCUACGAGUGUCGUGAGCCCACAAAAUCU